GGCGUGAACACAGCUGAGUUCAAUCAUGUCCAAUCAGAGUGGCUCUUCUCAUUCCCUAUAAGACCUCUCUAAUGCUGCGAACAUUGGCACUUAUUCCAUAGUUCUGUACUUUAAAAACGAGGUCUGCAGAAAAUAUUCCACCCAAAAUAGAUUUAGUAGUAAUUAUAAGUUCGUUUUCUGAUGACAUAUUUUAAUUUCAGCCAGAUUUUGGGCCGCCCAUAUUUCGGUCGAAGCCUGUGUGAGUCUGGUGACGUCAGCAACACAAGACGAACACAUUCCCUUAUACUAUUACCUGUUCUUGGUUCCUUCACAAGCAAGCCUGCAACGUCAUUGUGGCUUAUAUUGAAAGAGUGGAUUUUUGUUUUUGACAAUAAUAACUGAAAAUAGUGAGUGAAUUUGAGUAGGCUUGUUUAGUUCAAAUCCAUCGCUGUAAUGCUUCGUUGCAGCAGGAAGACAGCCGCAUGGCACAUAUGAGGCAGGCCGGACACACAAAAUGGUUCGUUCCGGGUGUGGACGCGGUUCCCUCCAGGACCGAGUGGCCUUUCUCGGGCCCAUUCAGCCUCAACAAUGCUCGCCGCUCAAACACUAUCUGCAGGCCGACCAAGGACGACACAGCGGACUUUCUUCAGCAGACAUUGUUUUGACAGCCUUAGGCCACCGGAGAUUGUGAGGGUGACAAGUGACAAAAUGGCGACCAUCCAUCAUCAUCAUCAUCAUCAUCAUCAUGAAGAUGACGUUUUUUAAAAAGUCAUCUUUCCUUCCAUACAGGAGGCCUGUGGGGCUGCUGUUGCCAUGGCAACGCGGUAACGGCCAGGUGCAGCUGCAGACUGAUGAUGUAAGAUGGAGGCAGCAUACAGAGAACUUUACCAGGAGUUUGUUCGCCUGAGAUCUCAAGGAGGAUCGCCUGUUCCUUGGCUUUGACCUCCCGAGUCUUCCAGGCAGAUUGCUGAUGUCCGACGUGACGCUGCAAUCUCACGUGUGCGACUUUUGCCCAGCCGUUUUUCCUGGACACACAACCACCAGCGGCGGGGAGUUCCUGCAACAUCUCCACAACCACGUCACCUAGUUACCAUCGCCACGGGCACGGCACGAAAGACUUAAUUUAACAGACGGUACCGUUGGGUCCCUUAAAAAGUGGGAUGCAUAUAUACAAACUGUUAUAAUUUGUACACCUUUUUACUUGAUUUGGAUGUAAAAUACCCUAAAAUUAAAGCUGAAAGUCUGCAGUUAACUUCAUUUAUUUUCAAAUAAAUCAUAGUGGUAAUGUCGUGUAGCUAACUGAAGCUCUCGUAAACCGGAACGAUGACUUGCCAAGUCACGUGUCGUUUAAGUCAAAGUCAAGCCGAGUCUACGGAUGUGCGGUGUAUACGGAAAUAUGUGAAAUCGUCCAAUUGUUAUGCCCUUUGUUUUUGAAAGAUUGUGUUGUGCAUUUUGUGCUGUGUUUGCUGUGUAUGAGGCGACUUGCAGAGUUAAUUCGACCAUUUAUAGUCACGACACUGCGAGUAAAGAGCGAAUACCAGAAUGUCCAGCUCGGAUUUUAUUAUUAAAAACACAAUUUCAAACAUGUACAUUUCUAAUCACAGCUAAUCUUAAAUAACAUCCCCUCAGUCUAAGGACACACAAACAAGACACAAAAGUACUGUAUGUACACUAUAUCACGCACGAAUGUUCUCAGAACCACUUACUCUUCCGUCCAUCUUUCACUUGAUGCUGACUACCGAAGUUUUUCCGUCCCACUAAGAGCACAACCGUGUCUAAUUGCAUCGAAAAUGCUUAUUUGCUCGAAAUAUUCUAAUUGUAUGUCCAUCCAUCUCAGCCAGCAACAUAUAGUGAAAGACAGAAUAGUUCCUGAAAUGUUC
This is a long non-coding RNA of Phyllopteryx taeniolatus (common seadragon), 1859 nucleotides long. RefSeq lists it as uncharacterized. Lineage: Eukaryota; Metazoa; Chordata; Actinopteri; Syngnathiformes; Syngnathidae. The transcript has 6 exons. The record is from RefSeq and is a predicted model, not a curated record.